This 69-nucleotide transfer RNA is filed under the name Asio flammeus (short-eared owl). RNAcentral's name for it is "tRNA-Ala". It matches the Rfam family "tRNA". Rfam says of the family: Transfer RNA (tRNA) molecules are approximately 80 nucleotides in length. Their secondary structure includes four short double-helical elements and three loops (D, anti-codon, and T loops). Lineage: Eukaryota; Metazoa; Chordata; Aves; Strigiformes; Strigidae. The record is from RNAcentral.
AAGGCUCUAGCUUAAUUAAAGCGUCUGAGUUGCAUUUAGAAGAUGCAGGUUAAUAUCCUGUGGGUCUUA